AACAUGCAAUUAGAUGGAUCCAGCUUUGGAGAAGAUUCAGAAAAUAUUCUUUUCCCCUUGAAAGCAAAACUCUUUAAGCAAUUGGAACAAGGAGGCAACAUUGUGCUUGUGCAGAAUGUGACUUCUAAAUAUUUGUUCUUCUGCUGGCAGAUGAAAGCAGACAGAAAACCUUCAGAGACCAGAAUGACUUAACCACAGAGACCCCAUCACUGCGGAAGCUCCCCUGGUAAAAGACCUGAAGCCUGGAAAAGAUGGCCUUUUGAAGACUUCCUACAGGAAGUGGAAGAGGCCAUCAGAGACUGACA
Non-coding RNA from Paralichthys olivaceus (Japanese flounder), 305 nucleotides. The record is from RefSeq and is a predicted model, not a curated record. NCBI's taxonomy places the organism in Eukaryota, Metazoa, Chordata, Actinopteri, Pleuronectiformes, Paralichthyidae.